Molecule: ribosomal RNA, 470 nt
Filed under: uncultured bacterium
Lineage: Bacteria
Description: bacterial SSU rRNA
Rfam family: Bacterial small subunit ribosomal RNA
Source: RNAcentral
UGGGGAAUAUUGGACAAUGGGCGAAAGCCUGAUCCAGCCAUGCCGCGUGUGUGAAGAAGGUCUUCGGAUUGUAAAGCACUUUAAGUUGGGAGGAAGGGCAGUUACCUAAUACGUGAUUGUUUUGACGUUACCGACAGAAUAAGCACCGGCUAACUCUGUGCCAGCAGCCGCGGUAAUACAGAGGGUGCAAGCGUUAAUCGGAAUUACUGGGCGUAAAGCGCGCGUAGGUGGUUAGUUAAGUUGGAUGUGAAAUCCCCGGGCUCAACCUGGGAACUGCAUUCAAAACUGACUGACUAGAGUAUGGUAGAGGGUGGUGGAAUUUCCUGUGUAGCGGUGAAAUGCGUAGAUAUAGGAAGGAACACCAGUGGCGAAGGCGACACCUGGACUGAUACUGACACUGAGGUGCGAAAGCGUGGGGAGCAAACAGGAUUAGAACCCACGUAGUCCCUGAGCGGGCUGGCAAGGCGCAU